Molecule: ribosomal RNA, 495 nt
Filed under: uncultured bacterium
Lineage: Bacteria
Description: partial 16S ribosomal RNA
Rfam family: Bacterial small subunit ribosomal RNA
Source: RNAcentral
GACGAACGCUGGCGGCGUGCCUAAUACAUGCAAGUAGAACGCUGAAGGAGGAGCUUGCUUCUCUGGAUGAGUUGCGAACGGGUGAGUAACGCGUAGGUAACCUGCCUGGUAGCGGGGGAUAACUAUUGGAAACGAUAGCUAAUACCGCAUAAGAGUAGAUGUUGCAUGACAUUUGCUUAAAAGGUGCAAUUGCAUCACUACCAGAUGGACCUGCGUUGUAUUAGCUAGUUGGUGGGGUAACGGCUUACCAAGGCGACGAUACAUAGCCGACCUGAGAGGGUGAUCGGCCACACUGGGACUGAGACACGGCCCAGACUCCUACGGGAGGCAGCAGUAGGGAAUCUUCGGCAAUGGACGGAAGUCUGACCGAGCAACGCCGCGUGAGUGAAGAAGGUUUUCGGAUCGUAAAGCUCUGUUGUAAGAGAAGAACGAGUGUGAGAGUGGAAAGUUCACACUGUGACGGUAGCUUAACAGAAAGGGACGGCUAACUACGUG